GGCGGCGUAGCCAAGUGGGAAGGCAGAGGUCUGCAAAACCUCUAUUCAGCGGUUCGAAUCCGCUCGCCGCCUCCA
RNAcentral lists this transfer RNA (75 nucleotides) under Candidatus Omnitrophota bacterium. RNAcentral's name for it is "tRNA-Cys". It matches the Rfam family "tRNA". From Rfam's summary of the family: Transfer RNA (tRNA) molecules are approximately 80 nucleotides in length. Lineage: Bacteria; Pseudomonadati; Candidatus Omnitrophota. The record is from RNAcentral.